CCCUUAGAUGUUCUGGGCCGCACGCGCGCUACACUGACGAAUGUAACGAGCUUAUAACCUUGGCCGAAAGGUCUGGGUAAUCUCCAAAUUUCGUCGUGAUGGGGAUAGAUUAUUGCAAUUAUUAAUCUUCAACGAGGAAUGCCUAGUAAGCGCAAGUCAUCAGCUUGCGUUGAUUACGUCCCUGCCCUUUGUACACACCGCCCGUCGCUCCUACCGAUUGAAUGGUCCGGUGAAGCGUUCGGACCGUGGCCUUUGGACGGUUCGCCGUCUGUUGGCUGCGGGAAGUUCGUUAAACCUUAUCAUUUAGAGGAAGGAGAAGUCGUANCA
RNAcentral lists this ribosomal RNA (327 nucleotides) under uncultured eukaryote. RNAcentral describes it as "partial 18S ribosomal RNA". It matches the Rfam family "Eukaryotic small subunit ribosomal RNA", at positions 1470 to 1796 of the family's 1831-position model. The record is from RNAcentral.